This is a long non-coding RNA of Aethina tumida (small hive beetle), 883 nucleotides long. RefSeq lists it as uncharacterized. NCBI's taxonomy places the organism in Eukaryota, Metazoa, Arthropoda, Insecta, Coleoptera, Nitidulidae. The transcript is spliced from 3 exons. The record is from RefSeq and is a predicted model, not a curated record.
ACCGGCGCGCCUCCGUCUGCGUGGCGUCGCGACGUCCUCGGGCCGCUGCACUGUCCGCAUACACCGGCGUCGUGUGCGCACGUGGUGGACCGCUUGACGAUCUCGUUACGCGCUGCCCAAAACUUGGGGAAGUCGUCCACGUAGCGGGACGACCGCCACUUUUUUUUAUUUCAUUUUCGGAUGGGCCGGUGCGUCGCGUUAUUUCGGUGCGUUGGUACUGUCGGUGCGACGUCAGGAUGAGCCGGCCGUGGGUCGCGUUGGCAUAGGUCAGUGACUGGGGUGCGUUGCAUGCAAGCCUGUGCACUAGGUAGAAUAAAUGUCGGCGGUUGCCUUGUUUUGGUGUUCCGAUGUUUCCGGCGUCUUCGACACCUAAAACCACACAUACACACGACCAGACUUCAGUAUGAACAAACACUAACCGGAGAACUCCGGGAAGACAAUAAACAAACCAGCUUAACGACGUGGACCAAUUAACAGGAGCAGGAGGAAAAGUGCAUAAUUAAACCGCCUCACUCCACUCAUAUGCCAUUCGAGAAUUUUGAUUUGCCAAAAGGUAUUCCAGUCUGAGACGUACAAAAAAAAAAUGUGUCGGUGUUUCGGUGUUGCCUAAAAAUUAACCUCGACCUCUCUCUAGUGUGAGAUGUAAUGUCUAUGUACUUCUUCCGGCUGCACAACCUGCGGCGAGCCGAGGAGGACAAGAAGAAGAAGCGUGCCGCCCAGCAGCAGCGCCAGAGGCGGAAGGCGCGCACCUACUCGCAACGGUACACGAACGCGGCGCUGACUCUGGCGCCCAGCCGUCUGUUCGAGCGGCCGCCCCUCACGCCCUCCGACAGCCUGGACGAGGUGGCCUUGCAGAUUCCCAGGUGCUCUCCAUAUGUAAAUA